CCUACGGGUGGCUGCAGUGAGGAAUAUUGGUCAAUGGGCGCGAGCCUGAACCAGCCAAGUAGCGUGAAGGAUGACUGCCCUACGGGUUGUAAACUUCUUUUAUAAAGGAAUAAAGUGAGGCACGUGUGCCUUUUUGUAUGUACUUUAUGAAUAAGGAUCGGCUAACUCCGUGCCAGCAGCCGCGGUAAUACGGAGGAUCCGAGCGUUAUCCGGAUUUAUUGGGUUUAAAGGGAGCGUAGAUGGGUUGUUAAGUCAGUUGUGAAAGUUUGCGGCUCAACCUCUUCGAGCCGUUGAAACUGGUUUUCUUGAGUGAGUGAGAAGUAUGCGGAAUGCGUGGUGUAGCGGUGAAAUGCAUAGAUAUCACGCAGAACUCCGAUUGCGAAGGCAGCAUACCGGCGCUCAACUGACGCUCAUGCACGAAAGUGUGGGUAUCGAACAGGAUUAGAUACCCCUGUAGUC
RNAcentral lists this ribosomal RNA (459 nucleotides) under uncultured bacterium. Its description in RNAcentral is "partial 16S ribosomal RNA". It matches the Rfam family "Bacterial small subunit ribosomal RNA", at positions 338 to 795 of the family's 1533-position model. The record is from RNAcentral.